Long non-coding RNA from Anguilla anguilla (European eel), 442 nucleotides. RefSeq lists it as uncharacterized. Lineage: Eukaryota; Metazoa; Chordata; Actinopteri; Anguilliformes; Anguillidae. The transcript has 3 exons. The record is from RefSeq and is a predicted model, not a curated record.
GAAUCCUCUUCAACCAUGAAUUGAAAUAAUCUGCAUACAAAUGAAUAAAGUGGAUUAAUUUCUCUCUCUCUCUUCUCUAUUCUGACAGAAGAAAUGAUCUCAUGGGCAGGAUCCAGUAACCACCAGGCAAAGACCAAAGGAAAACCACCGAAUCAAAGAGCCCGUAGGCACACCACUGCAGAUGAUGACUAAUAAGGAAGACAGUCCAGAUACGUGACUGUGGAUUUUCACCUUAACGCGAUGCUGGUAACCUGAACCCCACAUGAACACCUGUGAGCAGCAAGCAAAGGCGAACUGUGCUGACAAACUGCAGGAGGAAAUGUACAACAAUCUGAGCGAGCUGAUUGGUGGAAAGCCUAGCAGAAUGCCGAUGACUUGCAGCUUUCCGUGCGAAUAUUCAUCAGCAGGUAACCCAUCCACAGCCCACUGACACAGACAGAUC